AGCUGGCAGCGUACAGCUAUCUGGUUUCUUUUGGUCUAAGGAAAGAUUGCCAUCUAUUGGAUGACCUUGGAAACGAAUGGGUUUUUACUAUGUAUGUAAUCUGUAAUUCAAAAAAAUAAUAAUAAAAAAAAAAAAAUAAAAAUAAUAAAACACACACACACACAAAGAAAAGUACCAUAAUGAAAUUGAAGACUUUGAACUUAAAUAGUAUACAUUAUGAUCAUGAAACAGGAGAACAACUGCCAUCGUCUCAAAACUGAGAUUUUAAAUUCCAGAAUAAUUUACAUUAUAUGAAAGCAAUAGCUAUUUGCUUUAGAAUGAACUAAAUACUGAAUGUCUGUAUAUACAGUAAUAUUUGCUAGCAGUUUAAAUGUUUUGCAGAAUACUGAAUCCAAGUUUCUUUAUUUAACUUUACUGAAAUAUAAGGAAAGAGUUUUAAACCAGGUUUUAAUAUAUUUGUAGCAUAUAUUCCUCUCAAGAUUUGGGAACAGAAUGAUGCUCUUCUCCUGCAAACAAUAUUUGUCCAGCUUUCACAGACUGUUGCACUGCAUUACAUUUAAAACAAAGAUAUCGCUUGGCUUGGGUUUAAAAUGUAAUGCUUUUUUUUUUUUUUCAUAUAUAUCUUUCAGCCCAAGAACUUGCCAGUCAAGAUGAAAAACUUCUUCUAAUGGAAUCCAGCUUGAAAGCAACUCAAGAGCAGCUAAGUGAGCAAAUAGCAGAAACAGUUCACCAAGAACAGAACAGUAGAAAAUCACAGACAGAGCUGAAGACCCUGAGAGAACAUAUUAUAACAUCUGAAGAAGAAAUUAGUGAUUACAAGACGGCACAAUGAUAUGCCAUGAUAUUACCAUCCUGCCAAUAGAGGAAGAUAGAUCAACAUGGACGAUCAACACCAUCUUGCUGAAAUGGAUGAGAGCAAGCACAGGCUUUUUGGCUAAUAGGUACGAACUGAAACUUUGAAAAUAAGUACAAUCCCUAAUGUAUGAAACUUAAACUUGACAUAAAAUAUAAUGUUCACUUGCUUAUAAUUUUCAGAGUUGUAUUGUAUGCCUAUGCAUCUAUGAGGACAACAGUCUGUGAUAGCAUGUGAAAUUUUAAAUAUUUUUUUAAUCAAGGAAAAUGUCCUGUUCUUGUUCUUGAAUUCUUUCAAUAUUUUACUCAGAAAUUUGUAUGGAAAGGACUCGUUGUCUGUCAUUUUUGUCAGUAAAAGCCAUUCUUCUAAAACCCAGAGCUGCUUCUUUCAUUUCCUUUUGCUUGUUUAUUUUGCAUGUAUUGUUCUGCUUUAGAAGAUGUCAUGGUUCUUUAUGAUUUUUUAAAGUUAAUUCAUUUAAAUUCUUUUGCAGUUUUCUUUCAGAUGGAUAUUUUAGUCAUCAGAGUUCAUAGUGGCAAUAUGAGUUCUUUUUCAAAAUCUGGCAACCUCAAGGCCCUUAAAGACUCUAAAAAUCCUUAAUGCCUUUAACCAGAAGUUAUUUUCAGUAUUUCCAGGGAUCUGUCUUUACAUCCUGAUUUGUAGAAUAAUUCUUGGUAGAUGGUUCCAUGAGUCUUACAAGUCAGGUAGUGAAUUUGAAGUACAAACUUUUAUCAUAGGACAUGACAAUAUUAAGUCCAUCCUUGUCAUUACAGAUUUCUCAGGAGAAUUGAAUGUUCUGUGGUAGACAUAUUGUUGAACAUUAUUUGAAUCCAAUUUUUCUGAAUGACUUUGCUUCUUUCUUUGCAGCUACAAAGCAAAAUUUAAUCUGUGGAUUUUAUGGCACAAAAAUUUCUUAUAUAACGUUGUCAGAUUUGUUAUAUUAAAUUUAACCAAACGUCUGUUUAUCUAAAAAGCAAACAAAAAACAAAAAAUAGAAAAUAUAGUAACACCCCCCAAAAAAAUACAAUAACCCUCCCCCAAGGGGAAAAAAAAAAAAAAAAAAGACAAAAAAGAUAAUAUUUCUUAAGGUUUUUUUUUUUGUUUGUUUGUUUGUUUGUUUGUUUUUUAGUUAUUAUUCAUUGUUCUUCUUUACUUCUGAGUAUGUUAAGCCACUUUUGCCAUAAUUUUAUCCAUCUAUUUGGAUGAGAACUUUCUUCAUCUGUAACCAUUACCCUGACUCUUCAUGUUUGGCUUGCAGAAAUACUAGCUCCCCAUUUAUUGAUACAUCUACAUCAUAGUAAAUUUGCUGUUUUUUCAUUGUUAAUGAAAAACAAGAGUUUAAAAACCUUCCACUUUUUCUGUUGCCAGAUUUAAGUGUACUUACUUAAGUUUGCUUAUACCAGUGGCUAAACAAGAAGUAAUAAAGUAUUUAUAUUUACUGCCCA
RNAcentral lists this long non-coding RNA (2295 nucleotides) under Anas platyrhynchos platyrhynchos (common mallard). RNAcentral's name for it is "lncRNA (ENSAPLG00000029649.1)". Lineage: Eukaryota; Metazoa; Chordata; Aves; Anseriformes; Anatidae. The record is from RNAcentral.